RNAcentral lists this ribosomal RNA (376 nucleotides) under uncultured Pseudomonas sp. Its description in RNAcentral is "bacterial SSU rRNA". It matches the Rfam family "Bacterial small subunit ribosomal RNA", at positions 1008 to 1382 of the family's 1533-position model. Lineage: Bacteria; Pseudomonadati; Pseudomonadota; Gammaproteobacteria; Pseudomonadales; Pseudomonadaceae. The record is from RNAcentral.
GGAUUGGUGCCUUCGGGAACUCUGACACAGGUGCUGCAUGGCUGUCGUCAGCCCCGUGUCGUGAGAUGUUGGGUUAAGUCCCGUAACGAGCGCAACCCUUGUCCUUAGUUACCAGCACGUUAUGGUGGGCACUCUAAGGAGACUGCCGGUGACAAACCGGAGGAAGGUGGGGAUGACGUCAAGUCAUCAUGGCCCUUACGGCCUGGGCUACACACGUGCUACAAUGGUCGGUACAAAGGGUUGCCAAGCCGCGAGGUGGAGCUAAUCCCAUAAAACCGAUCGUAGUCCGGAUCGCAGUCUGCAACUCGACUGCGUGAAGUCGGAAUCGCUAGUAAUCGUGAAUCAGAAUGUCACGGUGAAUACGUUCCCGGGCCUU